CAGCCGCCGCGGUAAUACGUAGGGGCCAAGCGUUGUCCGGAUUUAUUGGGCGUAAAGGGCUCGUAGGCGGUUUGACAAGUCGGACGUGAAAACCUGGGGCUCAACCCCAGGACGCCGUUCGAAACUGUCAUGACUAGGGUCCGGUAAAGGUGAGUGGAAUUCUCGGUGUAGCGGUGAAAUGCGCAGAUAUCGAGAGGAACACCAGUGGCGAAGGCGAGUCCCUGGACAAUUCCUGACGCUGAGGCACGAAAGCUAGGGGAGCAAACAGGAUUAGAUACCCUGGUAGUCCACGCCGUAAACGUUGAACACUAGGUGUGGCGAGUUAAUCCAUACUUGCCGUGCCGCAGCUAACGCAUUAAGUGUUCCGCCUGGGGAGUACGGCCGCAAGGCUAAAACUCAAAGGAAUUGACGGGGCCCCGCACAAGCGGCGGAGCAUGCGGCUUAAUUCGAUGCAACCCGAAGAACCUUACCUGGACUUGACAUUAUGGGUCUAUCCCUAGAGAUAGGGAGUGCUUAUGCGCCCAUAACAGGUGGUGCAUGGCUGUCGUCAGCUCGUGUCGUGAGAUGUUGGGUUAAGUCCCGCAACGAGCGCAACCCCUGUCCUAUGUUGCCAGCAUUCAGUUGGGGACUCAUAGGAGACUGCCGGGGACAACUCGGAGGAAGGCGGGGACGACGUCAAGUCAUCAUGCCCCUUAUGUCCAGGGCUGCACGCAUGCUACAAUGGGCCAUACAAUGGGCUGCGAUCCCGCGAGGGUGAGCCAAUCUCUUAAAAUGGUCCUUAGUUCGGAUUGGAGUCUGCAACUCGACUCCAUGAAGCCGGAGUCGCUAGUAAUCGUGGAUCAGCAAAGCCACGGUGAAUACGUUCUCGGGGCUUGUACACACCGCCCGUCACAUCACGGAAGUCGGUAACGCCCGAAGUCAGUGGCCUAACCCUAUGGGAAGGAGCUGCCGAAGGUGGGAUCGGUGACUGGGAUGAAGUCGUAACAAGGUAACCGUA
This 997-nucleotide ribosomal RNA is filed under the name uncultured Actinomycetes bacterium. RNAcentral's name for it is "bacterial SSU rRNA". It matches the Rfam family "Bacterial small subunit ribosomal RNA", at positions 509 to 1504 of the family's 1533-position model. Lineage: Bacteria; Bacillati; Actinomycetota; Actinomycetes. The record is from RNAcentral.